GAAGCUUGUGAAACUUCAGGAAACAACAAUCGGUAAUAAAACCAGAAAAAUGUCGAAAAUAAUUUUAUUAUUAUCAAUUUUCGUAUUGGUUGUUAUCUAUCCUGGUGUAUAUGCAUCAUGUCCUGGCGGUUGGUGCCAUCCAUCACAAGGUUAUGGCUGUUGUGAAGGAAAUCAAUGCUCUACAUAUUGGUUUCAAGGUACAUGCGUAACCAAUUUGGAAUACGCUAUCAUGCACACUCCGGGAAAAUGAUUAUAAUAAUCCAGUGAAGAUUUAUGAAUUUACACGGAAAAAAAAAAUCUGAGCAUCGAUUGGCCUUGGUCAGGAAUCAAAAUCAAGAUUUAAAUAAGUUUUGACUCAUAUAACAAACAAUAAAAUAAGAAAUGUCCGACAAAAAUAUUAAAAACUAUGUUUUUUCGAUUGUUUUGUUGAUAAUAUGAUUUAAACUAACUACUAAGUUCGACGACAUUAUAUGUAGCUCCGUGUAUUGUAUCAUUCAAUAAA
Molecule: long non-coding RNA, 502 nt
Organism: Microplitis demolitor
Lineage: Eukaryota; Metazoa; Arthropoda; Insecta; Hymenoptera; Braconidae
Exons: 3
Source: RefSeq, a predicted model, not a curated record